AUACGUAGGGGACGAGCGUUGUCCGGAAUUACUGGGCGUAAAGGGCGCGCAGGCUGUUUGACAAGUCAGCUGUUAAAUAUGGGGGCUUAACCCUUAUAUGCGGUUGAAACUAUCAGACUGGAGUGCUGUAGAGGCAAGUGGAAUUCCCAGUGUAGCGGUGAAAUGCGUAGAUAUUGGGAAGAACACCGGUGGCGAAGGCGACUUGCUGGGCAGCAACUGACGCUGAGGCGCGAAAGCCAGGGGAGCAAACGGGAUUAGAUACCCCGGUAGUCCUGGCCGUAAACGAUGAAUGCUAGGUGUGGGUGUAGAGAUACAUCCGUGCCGGAGCUAACGCGAUAAGCAUUCCGCCUGGGGAGUACGGUCGCAAGAUUGAA
This 374-nucleotide ribosomal RNA is filed under the name uncultured bacterium. RNAcentral describes it as "bacterial SSU rRNA". It matches the Rfam family "Bacterial small subunit ribosomal RNA", at positions 523 to 898 of the family's 1533-position model. The record is from RNAcentral.